This 2929-nucleotide ribosomal RNA is filed under the name Bacillus anthracis str. A16R. Its description in RNAcentral is "bacterial LSU rRNA". It matches the Rfam family "Bacterial large subunit ribosomal RNA". Lineage: Bacteria; Bacillati; Bacillota; Bacilli; Caryophanales; Bacillaceae. The record is from RNAcentral.
UUUGGUUAAGUUAGAAAGGGCGCACGGUGGAUGCCUUGACACUAGGAGUCGAUGAAGGACGGGACUAACGCCGAUAUGCUUCGGGGAGCUGUAAGUAAGCUUUGAUCCGAAGAUUUCCGAAUGGGGAAACCCACCAUACGUAAUGGUAUGGUAUCCUUAUCUGAAUACAUAGGGUAAGGAAGACAGACCCAGGGAACUGAAACAUCUAAGUACCUGGAGGAAGAGAAAGCAAAUGCGAUUUCCUGAGUAGCGGCGAGCGAAACGGAACAUAGCCCAAACCAAGAGGCUUGCCUCUUGGGGUUGUAGGACAUUCUAUACGGAGUUACAAAGGAACGAGGUAGACGAAGCGACCUGGAAAGGUCCGUCGUAGAGGGUAACAACCCCGUAGUCGAAAUUUCGUUCUCUCUUGAAUGUAUCCUGAGUACGGCGGAACACGUGAAAUUCCGUCGGAAUCUGGGAGGACCAUCUCCCAAGGCUAAAUACUCCCUAGUGAUCGAUAGUGAACCAGUACCGUGAGGGAAAGGUGAAAAGCACCCCGGAAGGGGAGUGAAAGAGAUCCUGAAACCGUGUGCCUACAAAUAGUCAGAGCCCGUUAAUGGGUGAUGGCGUGCCUUUUGUAGAAUGAACCGGCGAGUUACGAUCCCGUGCGAGGUUAAGCUGAAGAGGCGGAGCCGCAGCGAAAGCGAGUCUGAAUAGGGCGUUUAGUACGUGGUCGUAGACCCGAAACCAGGUGAUCUACCCAUGUCCAGGGUGAAGUUCAGGUAACACUGAAUGGAGGCCCGAACCCACGCACGUUGAAAAGUGCGGGGAUGAGGUGUGGGUAGCGGAGAAAUUCCAAUCGAACCUGGAGAUAGCUGGUUCUCCCCGAAAUAGCUUUAGGGCUAGCCUUAAGUGUAAGAGUCUUGGAGGUAGAGCACUGAUUGGACUAGGGGUCCUCAUCGGAUUACCGAAUUCAGUCAAACUCCGAAUGCCAAUGACUUAUCCUUAGGAGUCAGACUGCGAGUGAUAAGAUCCGUAGUCAAAAGGGAAACAGCCCAGACCGCCAGCUAAGGUCCCAAAGUGUGUAUUAAGUGGAAAAGGAUGUGGAGUUGCUUAGACAACUAGGAUGUUGGCUUAGAAGCAGCCACCAUUUAAAGAGUGCGUAAUAGCUCACUAGUCGAGUGACUCUGCGCCGAAAAUGUACCGGGGCUAAAUACACCACCGAAGCUGCGGAUUGAUACCAAUGGUAUCAGUGGUAGGGGAGCGUUCUAAGGACAGUGAAGUCAGACCGGAAGGACUGGUGGAGUGCUUAGAAGUGAGAAUGCCGGUAUGAGUAGCGAAAGACGGGUGAGAAUCCCGUCCACCGAAUGCCUAAGGUUUCCUGAGGAAGGCUCGUCCGCUCAGGGUUAGUCAGGACCUAAGCCGAGGCCGACAGGCGUAGGCGAUGGACAACAGGUUGAUAUUCCUGUACCACCUCUUUAUCGUUUGAGCAAUGGAGGGACGCAGAAGGAUAGAAGAAGCGUGCGAUUGGUUGUGCACGUCCAAGCAGUUAGGCUGAUAAGUAGGCAAAUCCGCUUAUCGUGAAGGCUGAGCUGUGAUGGGGAAGCUCCUUAUGGAGCGAAGUCUUUGAUUCCCCGCUGCCAAGAAAAGCUUCUAGCGAGAUAAAAGGUGCCUGUACCGCAAACCGACACAGGUAGGCGAGGAGAGAAUCCUAAGGUGUGCGAGAGAACUCUGGUUAAGGAACUCGGCAAAAUGACCCCGUAACUUCGGGAGAAGGGGUGCUUUCUUAACGGAAAGCCGCAGUGAAUAGGCCCAAGCGACUGUUUAGCAAAAACACAGCUCUCUGCGAAGCCGUAAGGCGAAGUAUAGGGGGUGACACCUGCCCGGUGCUGGAAGGUUAAGGAGAGGGGUUAGCGUAAGCGAAGCUCUGAACUGAAGCCCCAGUAAACGGCGGCCGUAACUAUAACGGUCCUAAGGUAGCGAAAUUCCUUGUCGGGUAAGUUCCGACCCGCACGAAAGGUGUAACGAUUUGGGCACUGUCUCAACCAGAGACUCGGUGAAAUUAUAGUACCUGUGAAGAUGCAGGUUACCCGCGACAGGACGGAAAGACCCCGUGGAGCUUUACUGUAGCCUGAUAUUGAAUUUUGGUACAGUUUGUACAGGAUAGGCGGGAGCCUUUGAAACCGGAGCGCUAGCUUCGGUGGAGGCGCUGGUGGGAUACCGCCCUGACUGUAUUGAAAUUCUAACCUACGGGUCUUAUCGACCCGGGAGACAGUGUCAGGUGGGCAGUUUGACUGGGGCGGUCGCCUCCUAAAGUGUAACGGAGGCGCCCAAAGGUUCCCUCAGAAUGGUUGGAAAUCAUUCGUAGAGUGCAAAGGCAUAAGGGAGCUUGACUGCGAGACCUACAAGUCGAGCAGGGACGAAAGUCGGGCUUAGUGAUCCGGUGGUUCCGCAUGGAAGGGCCAUCGCUCAACGGAUAAAAGCUACCCCGGGGAUAACAGGCUUAUCUCCCCCAAGAGUCCACAUCGACGGGGAGGUUUGGCACCUCGAUGUCGGCUCAUCGCAUCCUGGGGCUGUAGUCGGUCCCAAGGGUUGGGCUGUUCGCCCAUUAAAGCGGUACGCGAGCUGGGUUCAGAACGUCGUGAGACAGUUCGGUCCCUAUCCGUCGUGGGCGUAGGAAAUUUGAGAGGAGCUGUCCUUAGUACGAGAGGACCGGGAUGGACGCACCGCUGGUGUACCAGUUGUUCUGCCAAGGGCAUAGCUGGGUAGCUAUGUGCGGAAGGGAUAAGUGCUGAAAGCAUCUAAGCAUGAAGCCCCCCUCAAGAUGAGAUUUCCCAUAGCGUAAGCUAGUAAGAUCCCUGAAAGAUGAUCAGGUUGAUAGGUUCGAGGUGGAAGCAUGGUGACAUGUGGAGCUGACGAAUACUAAUAGAUCGAGGACUUAACCAUAUAA